This 253-nucleotide ribosomal RNA is filed under the name uncultured bacterium. Its description in RNAcentral is "partial 16S ribosomal RNA". It matches the Rfam family "Bacterial small subunit ribosomal RNA", at positions 524 to 776 of the family's 1533-position model. The record is from RNAcentral.
UACGAAGGGGGCGAGCGUUGUUCGGAUUUACUGGGCGUAAAGGGCGCGCAGGCGGCUUUGUUUGUCAGGCGUGAAAGCCCCGGGCUUAACCUGGGAACUGCGUUUGAUACGGCAGGGCUAGAGUUCGGGAGAGGAGCGUGGAAUUCCCAGUGUAGAGGUGAAAUUCGUAGAUAUUCGCAAGAACACCAGUGGCGAAGGCGGCUCACUGGCCCGAUACUGACGCUGAGGCACGAAAGCGUGGGGAGCAAACAGG